AGUUCUGCCUUCCCUCAGUCAGACUUGAGCACACAUUAAUGCGAGAGGAGAGGAGAAGGAACGCCUGGCUGUUGCUGUUUUCAAGGAUUUGAAGGCCAAUGUGAGAGUCUUUGAGGAUCAGUCUUGGGCCAAAAGAGGAAGUGACUUCUUUGACACCUGAUAUAAAGAGAGAGAGAGAGAGAGAGAAAGAGAGAGAAGAACAGAAAAGAGAAGAGAAGAGAAGAGGAGAAGAGAGAGAGAGGAGGGGUGAGAGUGAGGGAGCUGAGGCAUGAUUUGCUGAGGCUCUGCAGCUCCUAACACAGGAAGCGUGCUCUCUUCCCUUUUUCUCAGGCUGCAGAGAGUAAGUGCAGUCUACUGCUAUUUAACUUUGACCUGCGUGAUUAAAUAAAUGUGUUGUUGUGGUUGGGGGG
RNAcentral lists this long non-coding RNA (410 nucleotides) under Astyanax mexicanus (Mexican tetra). RNAcentral's name for it is "lncRNA (ENSAMXG00005009719.1)". The record is from RNAcentral. Lineage: Eukaryota; Metazoa; Chordata; Actinopteri; Characiformes; Acestrorhamphidae.